Chenopodium quinoa (quinoa) is the source of this 522-nucleotide long non-coding RNA. RefSeq lists it as uncharacterized. The record is from RefSeq and is a predicted model, not a curated record. The transcript is spliced from 2 exons. Lineage: Eukaryota; Viridiplantae; Streptophyta; Magnoliopsida; Caryophyllales; Amaranthaceae.
UCUAUAAAAACAAAUUUACUAACCCUUCAAUUUCAUCUACUCUAUUUCUCUUAAAUCAUCAUACGUAAGUGUUUAGUGAUACUAUUAUUUUUAGAAGUUCAGGAAAAUGGUGAACCCACUGAAGUAUAUGCUUGAGAAUCCAAAAAUCAACCCAAACCAGUUUGAUAUAUUGCUGAAAAGCCGGUUGUUUAGCUACUGCAAAGUUGCUGCUGGAGGUUUAGUAGUUGCUGGAUUUGCAAAACUAGCUUCUUUCCGCGAAGGCAAUGGCAAUGGCUUGUUUCAAGUUAAAGAAUGGUUCAAGGGUAUUCGUAUUCGUGGAAAAGGAUCAGAGACAAACUAACUAUGUUAUUUUAGCAUCUAAGUGUUCUUAUUAUGGAUUAUGUUGAUUAGUAUUUGUGAUUUCUAGUUUAUUACAAGUAUAUGUUCAGUUAAAGCUGCUAAUUUGGUGAUUUAACAUUUUUAGUUGGGUAAUAAAUUAAAAUUGAACUCUGCCUUAUUUAGUAUAAAGCUUUUGUCUUUUGA